This 520-nucleotide ribosomal RNA is filed under the name uncultured bacterium. RNAcentral's name for it is "bacterial SSU rRNA". It matches the Rfam family "Bacterial small subunit ribosomal RNA", at positions 8 to 518 of the family's 1533-position model. The record is from RNAcentral.
AGAGUUUGAUUCUGGCUCAGGAUGAACGCUAGCGACAGGCUUAACACAUGCAAGUCGAGGGGCAUCACGGGAGUAGCAAUACAACUGGUGGCGACCGGCGCACGGGUGAGUAACGCGUAUGCAACCUACCUAUCAGAGGGGAAUAACCCGGCGAAAGUCGGACUAAUACCGCAUAAAACAGGGGCACCGCAUGGUGAUAUUUGUUAAAGAAAUUCGCUGAUAGAUGGGCAUGCGUUCCAUUAGGUAGUUGGUGAGGUAACGGCUCACCAAGCCGACGAUGGAUAGGGGAACUGAGAGGUUGGUCCCCCACACUGGUACUGAGACACGGACCAGACUCCUACGGGAGGCAGCAGUGAGGAAUAUUGGUCAAUGGGCGGGAGCCUGAACCAGCCAAGUCGCGUGAAAGGAAGAAGGAUCUAUGGUUCGUAAACUUCUUUUGCAGGGGAAUAAAGUGCAGGACGUGUCCUGUUUUGUAUGUACCCUGAGAAUAAGGAUCGGCUAACUCCGUGCCAGCAGCGGC